Molecule: ribosomal RNA, 739 nt
Filed under: Ideonella dechloratans
Lineage: Bacteria; Pseudomonadati; Pseudomonadota; Betaproteobacteria; Burkholderiales; Sphaerotilaceae
Description: partial 16S ribosomal RNA
Rfam family: Bacterial small subunit ribosomal RNA
Source: RNAcentral
GUGCCCAGUAGUGGGGGAUAGCCCGGCGAAAGCCGGAUUAAUACCGCAUACGACCUGAGGGUGAAAGGGGGGGAUCGCAAGACNNNUCGCUAUUGGAGCGGCCGAUGUCAGAUUAGGUAGUUGGUGGGGUAAAGGCCUACCNAGCCGACGAUCUGUAGCUGGUCUGAGAGGACGACCAGCCACACUGGGACUGAGACACGGCNNAGACUCCUACGGGAGGCAGCAGUGGGGAAUUUUGGACAAUGGGCNCAAGCCUGAUCCAGNNAUGCCGCGUGCGGGAAGAAGGCCUUCGGGUUGUAAANNNCUUUUGUCAGGGAAGAAAUCUUCUGGGCUANUACCUCGGGAGGAUGACGGUACCUGAAGAAUAAGCACCGGCUAACUACGUGCCAGCAGCCGCGGUAAUACGUAGGGUGCAAGCGUUAAUCGGAAUUACUGNNCGUAAAGCGUGCGCAGGCGGUUUUGUAAGACAGAGGUGAAAUCCCCGGGCUCAACCUGGGAACUGCCUUUGUGACUGCAAGGCUUGAGUGCGGCAGAGGGGGAUGGAAUUCCGCGUGUAGCAGUGAAAUGCGUAGAUAUGCGGNNGAACACCGAUGGCGAAGGCAAUCCCCUGGGCCUGCACUGACGCUCAUGCACGAAAGCGUGGGGAGCAAACAGGAUUAGAUACCCUGGUAGUCNACGCCCUAAACGAUGUCAACUGGUNGUUGNNAAGGUUCCUUCUCAGUAACGUAGCUAACGCGUG